CAAGUGGGCCUAAAAGCAGCCACCUUUUGAAAAGCGUUAAAGCUUGACAAUAACCUUAUCCCCAAUUUCAUAUUCCCCCACGAACCCUACCUAUAUUUAGUAUUGAGUAAUCUUAUAAAAUUAUAAGAGAUACAAUGUUAAAACUAGUAACAUGAAGCAGCCCUUCUCCCUAAUGCAAGCAAAUACCAAAAUGGACUAACCAUUGGUUCUUAACGUCCAUGAGCUCAACCUAGCAACACUCCCUUCGAAAACCCUAUGCCCAAAUUACGUUAACCUUACACUAGAGCAUUCCUGGAAAGAUAAAAAGAAAAAGAAGGAACUCGGCAAACUAAAAUCCCGCCUGUUUACCAAAAACAUCGCCUCUUGACAUAUACUCCCUCCUAUAAGAGGUCCAGCCUGCCCAGUGAAAUUUUAACGGCCGCGGUACUCUGACCGUGCGAAGGUAGCAUAAUCACUUGUUCUUUAAAUGAGGACUAGUAUCAACGGCAUCACGAGGAUUUUACUGUCUCCUUUUUCCUAUCGGUGAAACUGAUCUCCCCGUGAAGAAGCGGGGAUAAUAUUAUAAGACGAGAAGACCCCAUGGAGCUUUAAACCCAGUAACACCUCAAACACACCCCCUCCCAAAAAGUUUUAAUGUUCUGUUCACUGGUUUUAGGUUGGGGCGACCGCGGAGUACAACUUAACCUCCACAGCGCACGGAACUUAUUCCUUACCUGAGAGCUACACCUCAAAGAAUUAUCACAUUAACGUAAAAUGAUCCAAUAUUUUCCUUAUUGAUUAAUGAACCAAGUUACCCUGGGGAUAACAGCGCAAUCCAUUUCUAGAGCCCCUAUCGACAAAUGGGUUUACGACCUCGAUGUUGGAUCAGGGUAUCCCAGUGGUGCAGCCGCUACUAAUGGUUUGUUUGUUCAACAAUUAAAACCCUACGUGAUCUGAG
Molecule: ribosomal RNA, 937 nt
Filed under: Minervarya pierrei (Pierre's cricket frog)
Lineage: Eukaryota; Metazoa; Chordata; Amphibia; Anura; Dicroglossidae
Description: partial 16S ribosomal RNA
Rfam family: Bacterial large subunit ribosomal RNA
Source: RNAcentral